Non-coding RNA from Poecilia reticulata (guppy), 882 nucleotides. NCBI's taxonomy places the organism in Eukaryota, Metazoa, Chordata, Actinopteri, Cyprinodontiformes, Poeciliidae. The record is from RefSeq and is a predicted model, not a curated record.
GAUGUGAAUCAAGAGGUGAUCUUCAAUGGGUAAAGAAUGUAGGACUGAGUACACAUCCCUGGAGAACUCCUGUGCUUUUUUUGCAAUUUCCUUUGGGUUUGUUAUCCCUGCAGACAGAAAUAGACAGAAGCCGGGACAAGCAGGAACAGGGAAGGUUUAGCCGACGAUGUCAUGGGCCCCGCGGUUUCGCUGCAGGAGUUUCAACUUGUGUAUGAUCAAGUAUUUGUUCCAGGUUGCUGCCAUCGGACCGAUUUCACCACAUUGGAUCCAGAAUAUGUUUGACAAACAGAGGACUAAGUGUCUGCAAGGUGUCCCUCAGCUGACUAAUCAUCACUACUCCACCUCCGUGCAUCAAGACAUACACCAGAGAAUUGACUUAUAAAACCCUGAGUGCUUAAGGUACACCCAAGGACUGGAAGAGAUGUUUUCAUCCGGCCUCACAUUAUUCCCUCUGAUGAACGCUGGAAGUAGCUUUGUGUAACUUCGACAACCACAUCAGAAGAGACAUCCCACGCAGAGCCAGUUGAGUAUGGAUUCGGUCAAAACACCAUAAAAGAAAAAGAAAAGCUGCGCGCGAGUUAGAAACUCGGUUUGUUUCAGGUCGAGUUUGAGCAACUCCAUCCUUCCAUCCGUCAACACUCCACCUCUUUCCGAGGAACUGAAAGCUGCUUGCUGUGCAGCAACGGUUUGCUGUGUUUUCCUUAACCUGAGGACUUCAGGCUCGUCUCUCCAGCAGGUUAAGCGUCGGCACUUUUGUGACAUUAAAACGGAUUGAGCAGAUUUUUGCUCAUUUAAAAAGCACAAUGAAUCAGGAUUGGUCAGACUCAAAACAGUGACGGAGACGACGUAGAUUUUGAAAAACAGAUUAGUCACAAUAAACUC